CGUAGGGUGCGAGCGUUAAUCGGAAUUACUGGGCGUAAAGCGUGCGCAGGCGGUUUUGUAAGACAGGCGUGAAAUCCCCGGGCUCAACCUGGGAACUGCGCUUGUGACUGCAAGGCUAGAGUACGGCAGAGGGGGUGGAAUUCCACGUGCAGCAGUGAAAUGCGUAGAGAUGUGGAGGAACACCAAUGGCGAAGGCAGCCCCCUGGGUCGAUACUGACGCUCAUGCACGAAAGCGUGGGUAGCAAACAGGAUUAGAUACCCUGGUAGUCCACGCCCUAAACGAUGUCAACUAGGUGUUGGGUGGGUAAAACCAUUUAGUACCGGAGCUAACGCGUGAAGUUGACCGCCUGGGGAGUACGGCCGCAAGGUUA
RNAcentral lists this ribosomal RNA (371 nucleotides) under uncultured organism. RNAcentral's name for it is "bacterial SSU rRNA". It matches the Rfam family "Bacterial small subunit ribosomal RNA", at positions 526 to 896 of the family's 1533-position model. The record is from RNAcentral.